This 344-nucleotide long non-coding RNA is filed under the name Homo sapiens (human). Its description in RNAcentral is "HSALNT0398660". Lineage: Eukaryota; Metazoa; Chordata; Mammalia; Primates; Hominidae. The record is from RNAcentral.
CGGGCCUGUAGGAAACUGCGCAUGCGCGGAGAGAAGAGCCCGGGCAGCCUGAAGGAAUGGCUGGAGUGGGCGGGGUCUGCGCCGCUUUAAGGUUGGACCCGAUCCUGCUAGGGAGUCUCCUGCAGCUUAGCAGUCCGGGAACUGGGAUUUCGGUGGGGAAUCCAAAACUAGCAGUGAUUGGAUCCAUAAAAGUUACCAAAAAACAAAAAUGAAGUGUCUGGAAUCACUCCACUGGAUUUCAAGACUACCAAUAUAGGAAAGAUGCUGGUUAACCUCCACACGCUUGAUUUUCAAGCAUCUGAUCUUUGAUAACUUCCAUAUUAAGAGACUUCAUUUCACCAUCU